UGCAGUCGAGGGGUAUUGUUCUUCGGAAUGAGGGACCGGCGCACGGGUGCGUAACGCGUAUGCAAUCUACCUUUCACAGAGGGAUAGCCCAGAGAAAUUUGGAUUAAUACCUCAUAGUAUAUAGAGUUGGCAUCAACAUUAUAUUAAAGUCACAACGGUGAAAGAUGAGCAUGCGUCCCAUUAGCUUGUUGGUAAGGUAACGGCUUACCAAGGCAACGAUGGGUAGGGGUCCUGAGAGGGAGAUCCCCCACACUGGUACUGAGACACGGACCAGACUCCUACGGGAGGCAGCAGUGAGGAAUAUUGGACAAUGGGCGCAAGCCUGAUCCAGCCAUGCCGCGUGCAGGAUGACGGUCCUAUGGAUUGUAAACUGCUUUUGCACAGGAAGAAACACUCGGACGUGUCCGAGCUUGACGGUACUGUGAGAAUAAGGAUCGGCUAACUCCGUGCCAGCAGCCGCGGUAAUACGGAGGAUCCAAGCGUUAUCCGGAAUCAUUGGGUUUAAAGGGUCCGUAGGCGGUUUGGUAAGUCAGUGGUGAAAGCCCAUCGCUCAACGGUGGAACGGCCAUUGAUACUGCUAGACUUGAAUUAUUAGGAAGUAACUAGAAUAUGUAGUGUAGCGGUGAAAUGCUUAGAGAUUACAUGGAAUACCAAUUGCGAAGGCAGGUUACUACUAAUGGAUUGACGCUGAUGGACGAAAGCGUGGGUAGCGAACAGGAUUAGAUACCCUGGUAGUCCACGCCGUANACGAUGGAUACUAGCUGUUGGGAGCAAUCUCAGUGGCUAAGCGAAAGUGAUAAGUAUCCCACCUGGGGAGUACGUUCGCAAGAAUGAAACUCAAAGGAAUUGACGGGGGCCCGCACAAAGCGUGGAGCAUGUGGUUUAUUCGAUGAUACGCGAGGAACCUUACCAA
This 913-nucleotide ribosomal RNA is filed under the name uncultured bacterium. RNAcentral describes it as "bacterial SSU rRNA". It matches the Rfam family "Bacterial small subunit ribosomal RNA", at positions 56 to 977 of the family's 1533-position model. The record is from RNAcentral.